RNAcentral lists this ribosomal RNA (253 nucleotides) under uncultured bacterium. RNAcentral describes it as "partial 16S ribosomal RNA". It matches the Rfam family "Bacterial small subunit ribosomal RNA", at positions 524 to 776 of the family's 1533-position model. The record is from RNAcentral.
UACGUAGGGGGCAAGCGUUGUCCGGAACUACUGGGCGUAAAGGGCGCGUAGGCGGCUUUUCAAGUCGGGCGUGAAAUCUCCGGGCUUAACCUGGAAGGGUCGUUCGAUACUGUCGAGCUAGAGUGUGGAAGAGGCUACUGGAAUUCCGGGUGUAGCGGUGGAAUGCGUAGAGAUCCGGAAGAACACCGGUGGCGAAGGCGGCCUGCUGGGCAGUAGCUGACACUGAGGCGCGACAGCGUGGGGAGCAAACAGG